Molecule: ribosomal RNA, 443 nt
Filed under: uncultured bacterium
Lineage: Bacteria
Description: partial 16S ribosomal RNA
Rfam family: Bacterial small subunit ribosomal RNA
Source: RNAcentral
CCUACGGGUGGCAGCAGUGGGGAAUAUUGGGCAAUGGGCGCAAGCCUGACCCAGCAACGCCGCGUGAAGGAAGACGGCUUUCGGGUUGUAAACUUCUUUUCUCAGGGACGAAGCAAGUGACGGUACCUGAGGAAUAAGCAACGGCUAACUACGUGCCAGCAGCCGCGGUAAUACGGCGGUGGCAAGCGUUAUCCGGAUUUACUGGGUGUAAAGGGCGUGUAGGCGGGGACGCAAGUCAGAUGUGAAAACCACGGGCUCAACCUGUGGCCUGCAUUUGAAACUGUGUUUCUUGAGUACUGUAGAGGCAGACGGAAUUCGUAGUGUAGCGGUGAAAUGCGUAGAUAUUAGGAGGAACACCAGUGGCGAAGGCGGUCUGCUGGACAGCAACUGACGCUGAGGCUCGAAAGCGUGGGGAGCAAACAGGAUUAGAUACCCUAGUAGUC